Molecule: non-coding RNA, 114 nt
Filed under: Vibrio coralliilyticus
Lineage: Bacteria; Pseudomonadati; Pseudomonadota; Gammaproteobacteria; Vibrionales; Vibrionaceae
Description: TPP sequence
Rfam family: TPP riboswitch aptamer (THI element)
About the family: Vitamin B(1) in its active form thiamin pyrophosphate (TPP) is an essential coenzyme that is synthesised by coupling of pyrimidine and thiazole moieties in bacteria. The previously detected thiamin-regulatory element, thi box was extended, resulting in a new, highly conserved RNA secondary structure, the THI element, which is widely distributed in eubacteria and also occurs in some archaea.
Source: RNAcentral
CGAUACUCAUCGGGGAGCUAUUCAUCGCACAGAUGAAGCUGAGAUUGGGCAAAGCCCAGGACCCGUGUACCUGAACCAGAUAAUGCUGGCGUAGGAAUUGAGUCUGAACAUUUG